RNAcentral lists this ribosomal RNA (466 nucleotides) under uncultured bacterium. Its description in RNAcentral is "partial 16S ribosomal RNA". It matches the Rfam family "Bacterial small subunit ribosomal RNA", at positions 28 to 507 of the family's 1533-position model. The record is from RNAcentral.
GAUGAACGCUGGCGGCGUGCUUAACACAUGCAAGUCGAACGGAAAGGCUCCUGCUUGCAGGGGUACUCGAGUGGCGAACGGGUGAGUAACACGUGGGUGAUCUGCCCUGCACUUCGGGAUAAGCCUGGGAAACUGGGUCUAAUACCGGAUAGGACGAUGGUUUGGAUGCCAUUGUGGAAAGUUUUUCGGUGUGGGAUGAGCUCGCGGCCUAUCAGCUUGUUGGUGGGGUAAUGGCCUACCAAGGCGUCGACGGGUAGCCGGCCUGAGAGGGUGUACGGCCACAUUGGGACUGAGAGACGGCCCAGACUCCGACGGGAGGCAGCAGUGGGGAAUAUUGCACAAUGGGCGCAAGCCUGAUGCAGCGACGCCGCGUGGGGGAUGACGGCCUUCGGGUUGUAAACUCCUUUCGCUAGGGACGAAGCGUUUUGUGACGGUACCUGGAGAAGAAGCACCGGCUAACUACGUG